AGGGUUUGAUUAUGGCUCAGGAUGAACGCUGGCGGCGUGCUUAACACAUGCAAGUCGAACGAAGCUGCUUAACUGAUCUUCUUCGGAAUUGACGUUUUGUAGACUGAGUGGCGGACGGGUGAGUAACGCGUGGGUAACCUGCCCUGUACAGGGGGAUAACAGUCAGAAAUGACUGCUAAUACCGCAUAAGACCACAGCACCGCAUGGUGCAGGGGUAAAAACUCCGGUGGUACAGGAUGGACCCGCGUCUGAUUAGCUGGUUGGUGAGGUAACGGCUCACCAAGGCGACGAUCAGUAGCCGGCUUGAGAGAGUGAACGGCCACAUUGGGACUGAGACACGGCCCAA
Molecule: ribosomal RNA, 346 nt
Filed under: uncultured bacterium
Lineage: Bacteria
Description: bacterial SSU rRNA
Rfam family: Bacterial small subunit ribosomal RNA
Source: RNAcentral